Molecule: ribosomal RNA, 207 nt
Filed under: uncultured bacterium
Lineage: Bacteria
Description: partial 16S ribosomal RNA
Rfam family: Bacterial small subunit ribosomal RNA
Source: RNAcentral
UGCGUAGGCGGUUCUCUAAGUCGGAUGUGAAAACUCUGGGCUCAACCCAGAGCCUGCAUCCGAAACUGGAGGACUAGGGUGCUGGAGGGGAAAGCGGAAUUCCUGGUGUAGCGGUGAAAUGCGUAGAUAUCAGGAGGAACACCGGUGGCGAAGGCGGCUUUCUGGACAGUAACCGACGCUGAGGCACGAAAGCUAGGGGAGCAAACA